This is a long non-coding RNA of Polyodon spathula (Mississippi paddlefish), 724 nucleotides long. RefSeq lists it as uncharacterized. Lineage: Eukaryota; Metazoa; Chordata; Actinopteri; Acipenseriformes; Polyodontidae. The transcript is spliced from 4 exons. The record is from RefSeq and is a predicted model, not a curated record.
GCUGACGUGUCUUUGGUGCCCUCUGGUGGUAAGCUGUGUCCUUUUUCUAUCGUUGCCAUUGGCUACAAGUCAAAACAACUGGGCACAAAAUGUGCUUCUGUCUAGUCGGCUGCAGGUUACGAGUCUAGAAUCAACAGGGAAAAUAAAUAUAAAAAAAUAGCCUGCACAGCGAUGCCAGGGACCGAGAAAAAGGCGAAGGAAGAGAAUAACUAAAAAGACUGCAAAAGCUGCAGGCACGAAAGUCGUGGCCCCGGAUGCAAUUACACCUCUCUACGUGCCUCCGCCGCCCGUGCUGGGGCAAAAGCUUUUACAAGUUCUGCAAGGAUGGAAGGAAGAGAAGACCCAGGUGAACGGAGUGCAUGUAUCGGACAGGGCUUCACAGAAACUCUCAAGACAGGAGAUUCAAGAUCUGAAGAUGGUCUUCAAUCUUACGGACAAUGAAAAGACUGGAAAAGUCAGCUUCAGUGAUUUUCUGGAACUUGUCGUUGAGUUGGAGGGAGAUGGAAGAGACAUCUGUGAAGAAAUUGAACAAGGAUUCAAGUAUUUAGACUGUGAUAACGAUGGGAAAGUAACAUUUGAUAAUCUGAAAAAAGCCUGUCAGUCAGCGGGCAUUCAUUUCUCACAUCAGAAGCUGCGAGAGAUGAUCACGGAAACAGACACAAACGGAGACGGUGCUGUGGACCGCGAGGAAUUUACAAAAGUCAUGUUAAAGACCAAUCUGUUC